RNAcentral lists this long non-coding RNA (623 nucleotides) under Olea europaea (common olive). RNAcentral's name for it is "long non-coding RNA (OEUR_LNC011719)". Lineage: Eukaryota; Viridiplantae; Streptophyta; Magnoliopsida; Lamiales; Oleaceae. The record is from RNAcentral.
UCUCUCUUGUCAAUUUUCAUCCGUCUCCCCCAACCUCAACAUAGAAAUCAACACCUCCGAUGAAACCCAAAGCGUUCGGUAAUUUUUUUUCGUGAAGGCGGUCGAUCAUUGUUUCUGUCAUUCGAAUCCCCACAAACACCGUUUUCUCCAUCGUAUCUGCAGCUAAAAUUAGGUGAGUGUGAUACGUGGUUUACAUGGGUAUCUCGAAGCUUUUGAUUUUCGACAAAAUCUAUGUCAAGGGAAGGUACGAGAGAGAAAAAAGAGAGGAUAAUUUUGUGAAUUUUUAUCUUAGAAUAUAGUUAUCUAUGUAUUGAAUGAUAGGAUUCAGUUGAAUAGCACUUGGUUUGUACGUGACUAAAUAAAUGGUGAGCUGUUGAAUGUAAUGUUUCUGGUAACUUUUUCAAGAACAAGCAUGUGCUUCAUAAUAAGAAUGCUAGUGCAUGUAGAAUAUUUAUUCUGUCAAAUUUUUCUCUGAGUAUCCUAUCACACUUUUGUUGUCAUACUUGUAAAGCUCCUGCUAAUAAUUUCUGGAUAUUCAUUGUUGUCGAGGUUGUAUUCUUGAUAACUAUUUUGGGAAGGAAAUGAUUACUUAAUAAGAUACCGUUUGAGGGCAAUUUUCAUAA